This is a long non-coding RNA of Limanda limanda (common dab), 398 nucleotides long. RefSeq lists it as uncharacterized. The record is from RefSeq and is a predicted model, not a curated record. NCBI's taxonomy places the organism in Eukaryota, Metazoa, Chordata, Actinopteri, Pleuronectiformes, Pleuronectidae. The transcript is spliced from 2 exons.
UAAAGUAGGUAGGCUAUGUAAUCUGUAAUCGAAGGAGAAGGUCAAUCACAGGUGGAGCCAGAAGGCCUAGUUCCCACAGGACCCCCAGAGGGAGGCUCAAAGCACCCAAAGAAAGAUGACGCCUAUAAGGUACUUCUGCAAAAAGAGACCGAAAGGGCAGAAGUACAGAUCCAUCUAGCAGAGGAACAGCUUAUUCUUGCCCGACGAAGCAGAUGAUGAUGAUGAAGAAGAAGGAGAACUCAUAAGAAGAACUACUCAUAACAAGAACUAAGAAGUCUCAGAUGAGUGGACUGCCUGUUUCCAAGAAAUGGACAAUGGAGGGGGAUGUUUAUAUUGUUUGUUUGCUGUUCCGUUCAGUCCUAUUUUCUGUUCAAAUAAAGCAUAUUGGAGUGACCCCA